CGUUCCCGGGCCUUGUACACACCGCCCGUCACACCACGAAAGUUGGGUGCAACCAAAAUCGGUAAUCCAACCCGCAAGGGAGGUAACCGCCAAAGUUGUGGCCAAUGAUUGGGGUG
This 116-nucleotide ribosomal RNA is filed under the name uncultured bacterium. RNAcentral's name for it is "partial 16S ribosomal RNA". It matches the Rfam family "Bacterial small subunit ribosomal RNA", at positions 1369 to 1482 of the family's 1533-position model. The record is from RNAcentral.